RNAcentral lists this ribosomal RNA (192 nucleotides) under Lodderomyces parapsilosis. Its description in RNAcentral is "Candida parapsilosis partial 28S ribosomal RNA". It matches the Rfam family "Eukaryotic large subunit ribosomal RNA", at positions 1 to 190 of the family's 3401-position model. Lineage: Eukaryota; Fungi; Ascomycota; Pichiomycetes; Serinales; Debaryomycetaceae. The record is from RNAcentral.
UUCGACCUCAAAUCAGGUAGGACUACCCGCUGAACUUAAGCAUAUCAAUAAGCGGAGGAAAAGAAACCAACAGGGAUUGCCUUAGUAGCGGCGAGUGAAGCGGCAAAAGCUCAAAUUUGAAAUCUGGCACUUUCAGUGUCCGAGUUGUAAUUUGAAGAAGGUAUCUUUGGGUCUGGUCUUGUCUACGUUGUU